GACGAACGCUGGCGGCGUGCUUAACACAUGCAAGUCGAACGGAAAGGCCCUGCUUUUGUGGGGUGCUCGAGUGGCGAACGGGUGAGUAACACGUGAGUAACCUGCCCUUGACUUUGGGAUAACUUCAGGAAACUGGGGCUAAUACCGGAUAGGAGCCCCUGCUGCAUGGUGGGGGUUGGAAAGUUUCGGCGGUUGGGGAUGGACUCGCGGCUUAUCAGCUUGUUGGUGGGGUAGUGGCUUACCAAGGCUUUGACGGGUAGCCGGCCUGAGAGGGUGACCGGCCACAUUGGGACUGAGAUACGGCCCAGACUCCUACGGGAGGCAGCAGUGGGGAAUAUUGCACAAUGGGCGGAAGCCUGAUGCAGCAACGCCGCGUGCGGGAUGAUGGCCUUCGGGUUGUAAACCGCUUUCGCCUGUGACGAAGCGUGAGUGACGGUAAUGGGUAAAGAAGCACCGGCUAACUACGUG
RNAcentral lists this ribosomal RNA (468 nucleotides) under uncultured bacterium. RNAcentral's name for it is "partial 16S ribosomal RNA". It matches the Rfam family "Bacterial small subunit ribosomal RNA", at positions 28 to 507 of the family's 1533-position model. The record is from RNAcentral.